RNAcentral lists this ribosomal RNA (841 nucleotides) under Leuconostoc lactis. RNAcentral describes it as "bacterial SSU rRNA". It matches the Rfam family "Bacterial small subunit ribosomal RNA", at positions 57 to 880 of the family's 1533-position model. Lineage: Bacteria; Bacillati; Bacillota; Bacilli; Lactobacillales; Lactobacillaceae. The record is from RNAcentral.
GCAGUCGAACGCGCAGCGAAAGGUGCUUGCACCUUUCAAGCGAGUGGCGAACGGGUGAGUAACACGUGGAUAACCUGCCUCAAGGCUGGGGAUAACAUUUGGAAACAGAUGCUAAUACCGAAUAAAACUUAGUAUCGCAUGAUACAAAGUUGAAAGGCGCUACGGCGUCACCUAGAGAUGGGUCCGCGGUGCAUUAGUUAGUUGGUGGGGUAAAGGCCUACCAAGACAAUGAUGCAUAGCCGAGUUGAGAGACUGAUCGGCCACAUUGGGACUGAGACACGGCCCAAACUCCUACGGGAGGCUGCAGUAGGGAAUCUUCCACAAUGGGCGCAAGCCUGAUGGAGCAACGCCGCGUGUGUGAUGAAGGCUUUCGGGUCGUAAAGCACUGUUGUAUGGGAAGAAAUGCUAGAAUAGGGAAUGAUUCUAGUUCGACGGUACCAUACCAGAAAGGGACGGCUAAAUACGUGCCAGCAGCCGCGGUAAUACGUAUGUCCCGAGCGUUAUCCGGAUUUAUUGGGCGUAAAGCGAGCGCAGACGGUUGAUUAAGUCUGAUGUGAAAGCCCGGAGCUCAACUCCGGAAUGGCAUUGGAAACUGGUUAACUUGAGUGUUGUAGAGGUAAGUGGAACUCCAUGUGUAGCGGUGGAAUGCGUAGAUAUAUGGAAGAACACCAGUGGCGAAGGCGGCUUACUGGACAACAACUGACGUUGAGGCUCGAAAGUGUGGGUAGCAAACAGGAUUAGAUACCCUGGUAGUCCACACCGUAAACGAUGAAUACUAUGUGUUAGGAGGUUUCCGCCUCUUAGUGCCGAAGCUAACGCAUUAAGUAUUCCGCCUGGGGGA